Molecule: unclassified non-coding RNA, 277 nt
Filed under: Hevea brasiliensis (rubber tree)
Lineage: Eukaryota; Viridiplantae; Streptophyta; Magnoliopsida; Malpighiales; Euphorbiaceae
Source: RNAcentral
AGCUGAUUUGCAGCUUCAAUGGCGCUUUCCAUUUUAGGCCACCCUCCAACAAACUCAGAUACAUUGGUGGGGAGACUCGUAUCAUUUUGGUCGACCGGAACAUCGGCUUCUUCAAGCUUCUCAAUAAGAUGUCCGAUCUUUGCCCUAAAUUACGCUCUUUCUCGCUCAAGUACCAGCUUCCCAUGUACGGGUCAGAAUCCGGGUCCCGACGUGCCCGUGACCCCGAGUCAGACUUGGAAACGGGUGUUCCUCUGGUAUCGAUUGCCUCCGACGAAGA